UAAUAAGUGUUUUAUGGCACUUUUUAAAUCCAUAUCCACCUUGUGUGCAAUGUCAGUCGACCUUCUUCAUGGAGAUCGACCAAACAUCAACCUUUAUCUUUUAACUCUUUGUCUGAAAAAUAUUAUGAAUAAACAAUUCAAAAUA
Molecule: unclassified non-coding RNA, 145 nt
Filed under: soil metagenome
Description: partial internal transcribed spacer 1
Source: RNAcentral